AGUCAGGAAGUGGAUUUUCAUCCGAUUUCCUACUUCUGUUGGUCAGAUGCACCCAAGUUAGCUGCCCCUCACUGCAAAGGCUUCCACCUCAAUAUGCAGUAGCAGCCACUACUCACAGCUGAUCUGCAGGCCUCAGCACAUGAUGGGUGCUUUCCAGCCCAGCCUAACAAUAGCAUAAGGGAAAGACAAGUAGUAAGACAUGCCACAUUACCAAGAACAGGACGACAGGUUGCUUGCUUGAGC
Pezoporus flaviventris is the source of this 243-nucleotide long non-coding RNA. RefSeq lists it as uncharacterized. The record is from RefSeq and is a predicted model, not a curated record. Lineage: Eukaryota; Metazoa; Chordata; Aves; Psittaciformes; Psittacidae. The transcript is spliced from 3 exons.